AAGGGCACCACAAGAACGCGUGGAGCAUGUGGCUUAAUUUGACUCAACGCGGGAAAUCUUACCGGGUCCGGACACACUGAGGAUUGACAGGCAAUUGUGGGGAGCGGGUUGGUGCUUCGGUGCCUCCCUUCUCUACUAUAAAUAUGCUAGUCCUUUCAUGAUUGUGUGAUAGGUGGUGCAUGGCCGUUCUUAGUUCGUGGAGUGAUCUGUCUGCUUAAUUGCGUUUCACAAAGAACUUUCUAACUCCCAUCUGUUGCACGGCACUGUCCUUCAUCGGGCAGUUGUCUGUUGCACGGUGGGGAAAAAGUUCUGAAGGCAACGAACGUGACCGCAUCCUCUUGUUGCCGCCUUUUUCUUUCUAUGAAAACAUGAGUGUCGAUGUCUUCUGCUUCGGCAGUUGCUCGCUCUCUGCACGGCGUCUUUUUGCAAACUAGAGGGACCGCUGACAACUUUUAAAACAGAGGAAGGUUGCGGCAAUAACAGGUCUGUGAUGCCCUUAGAUGUUCCGGGCUGCACACGUGCUACAAUGAUUAUUGCAGUGAGCAUCUAAAUUAAACAAAGAGUUUCUGGGUUUCUGUUGCCCUCUCCGGGCGCAGUUACCCGUGCUCUAACUGACCUAAUUCGAAAGUAAUUAGGUAAUCAAUUCGAAGUAAUGAUUUCCUUUCGCACAUACAACUAUCCCUUGUUUGCUACCUUGCCUCUGCACUCCGGUGUUGUUGGUAUUGUUUGUAGUCCUGAGAUAUGUGCUCCAUUAAUUCAUGGUGGGGACAGACCAUUGUUAAUUGUUGGUCUCGGUCUCAACUAGGAAUGCCUUGUACGGGUCUUUGGUUCAACAAACCACCCGGAAUAUGUCCCUGCCCUUUGUACACACCGCCCGUCA
Molecule: ribosomal RNA, 880 nt
Filed under: Allogromida sp. 2003_gam
Lineage: Eukaryota; Foraminifera
Description: SSU rRNA
Rfam family: Eukaryotic small subunit ribosomal RNA
Source: RNAcentral